This 465-nucleotide ribosomal RNA is filed under the name Vreelandella stevensii. RNAcentral's name for it is "partial 16S ribosomal RNA". It matches the Rfam family "Bacterial small subunit ribosomal RNA", at positions 338 to 795 of the family's 1533-position model. The record is from RNAcentral. Lineage: Bacteria; Pseudomonadati; Pseudomonadota; Gammaproteobacteria; Oceanospirillales; Halomonadaceae.
CCUACGGGUGGCAGCAGUGGGGAAUAUUGGACAAUGGGGGCAACCCUGAUCCAGCCAUGCCGCGUGUGUGAAGAAGGCCCUCGGGUUGUAAAGCACUUUCAGUGAGGAAGAACGCCUGGUGGUUAAUACCCAUCAGGAAAGACAUCACUCACAGAAGAAGCACCGGCUAACUCCGUGCCAGCAGCCGCGGUAAUACGGAGGGUGCGAGCGUUAAUCGGAAUUACUGGGCGUAAAGCGCGCGUAGGUGGCUUGAUAAGCCUGUUGUGAAAGCCCCGGGCUCAACCUGGGAACGGCAUCCGGAACUGUCAAGCUAGAGUGCAGGAGAGGAAGGUAGAAUUCCCGGUGUAGCGGUGAAAUGCGUAGAGAUCGGGAGGAAUACCAGUGGCGAAGGCGGCCUUCUGGACUGACACUGACACUGAGGUGCGAAAGCGUGGGUAGCAAACAGGAUUAGAUACCCGGGUAGUC